This 254-nucleotide ribosomal RNA is filed under the name uncultured bacterium. Its description in RNAcentral is "partial 16S ribosomal RNA". It matches the Rfam family "Bacterial small subunit ribosomal RNA", at positions 524 to 776 of the family's 1533-position model. The record is from RNAcentral.
GACGAACCGUGCAAACGUUAUUCGGAAUCACUGGGCAUAAAGGGCGCGUAGGUGGCCCGGUCAGUUCGUGGUGAAAGCGCGGGGCUCAACCCUGCGUCGGCCAUGAAUACUGCCGCGGCUGGAGCACUGUAGAGGCAGGCGGAAUUCCGGGUGUAGCGGUGGAAUGCGUAGAGAUCCGGAAGAACACCGGUGGCGAAGGCGGCCUGCUGGGCAGUUGCUGACACUGAGGCGCGACAGCGUGGGGAGCAAACAGG